GCUUACAGCCAUCCCACACUGAGCACGCCUGAUCUCAUACGAUCUCGGAAGCUAAGCAGUGCUGGGCCUGGUUAGUACUUGGAUGGGAGACCAACUGGGAAUACCAGGUGCUGUAAGCU
Molecule: ribosomal RNA, 119 nt
Organism: Clupea harengus (Atlantic herring)
Lineage: Eukaryota; Metazoa; Chordata; Actinopteri; Clupeiformes; Clupeidae
Source: RefSeq, a predicted model, not a curated record